CCUAUUGUCAUUCCAAAACAUACCAUUCCAUUCCAAAACAUAUCAUUCAAUAACCAAUAAAACAUACCAUUCCAUUCCAAAACAUACCAUUCAAUAACCAACAAAACAUACCAUUCAUACAAUUCAUGUUAUUCAAAACAAAACUAAACCAAAAGAUAAAAGAAGAGGAACCUAUUUGUUGGUGUCAGUCACGCUAUUCGUCCCACUUUUAGUCGGACUUUGAGUCGCUUUUUUGCCAACAUUUUCGACAUUUGAAUCUCUUGUAGUAGGCGUGAUUAUGUUGUCGCGUCCUUGGCUCGACUGACCCUAAUGUAAAAAAGUCCUACAAAAAACAAUCAAAUUAAAUAAUAAAUUAUAAUGAAUUAUAAUGAAAAUUAAUACUCACCCGCUCUUAAGAAUA
This 400-nucleotide long non-coding RNA is filed under the name Zostera marina. RNAcentral's name for it is "long non-coding RNA (ZMAR_LNC004895)". The record is from RNAcentral. Lineage: Eukaryota; Viridiplantae; Streptophyta; Magnoliopsida; Alismatales; Zosteraceae.